Molecule: ribosomal RNA, 483 nt
Filed under: uncultured bacterium
Lineage: Bacteria
Description: bacterial SSU rRNA
Rfam family: Bacterial small subunit ribosomal RNA
Source: RNAcentral
AGAGUUUGAUCAGUGGCUCAGGACGAACGCUGGCGGCGUGCUUAACACAUGCAAGUCGAACGGUAAGGCCCUUCGGGGUACACGAGUGGCGAACGGGUGAGUAACACGUGGGUGAUCUGCCCUGCACUUCGGGAUAAGCCUGGGAAACUGGGUCUAAUACCGGAUAGGACUCCUGGCUUCAUGGUUGGGGGUGUAAAGCUUUUGCGGUGUGGGAUGGGCCCGCGGCCUAUCAGCUUGUUGGUGGGGUAAUGGCCUACCAAGGCGACGACGGGUAGCCGGCCUGAGAGGGUGACCGGCCACACUGGGACUGAGAUACGGCCCAGACUCCUACGGGAGGCAGCAGUGGGGAAUAUUGCACAAUGGGCGCAAGCCUGAUGCAGCGACGCCGCGUGAGGGAUGACGGCCUUCGGGUUGUAAACCUCUUUCAAUAGGGACGAAGCGCAAGUGACGGUACCUAUAGAAGAAGGACCGGCCAACUACGUG